RNAcentral lists this ribosomal RNA (440 nucleotides) under uncultured bacterium. RNAcentral describes it as "partial 16S ribosomal RNA". It matches the Rfam family "Bacterial small subunit ribosomal RNA", at positions 338 to 795 of the family's 1533-position model. The record is from RNAcentral.
CCUACGGGAGGCAGCAGUAGGGAAUAUUGCUCAAUGGGGGAAACCCUGAAGCAGCAACGCCGCGUGGAGGAUGAAGGUUUUCGGAUUGUAAACUCCUUUUGUUAGAGAAGAUAAUGACGGUAUCUAACGAAUAAGCACCGGCUAACUCCGUGCCAGCAGCCGCGGUAAUACGGAGGGUGCAAGCGUUACUCGGAAUCACUGGGCGUAAGGAGCGCGUAGGCGGGAUAGCAAGUCAGAUGUGAAAUCCUAUGGCUUAACCAUAGAACUGCAUUUGAAACUGUUAUUCUAGAGUAUGGGAGGGGUAGGUGGAAUGUUUGGUGUAGGAGUAAAAUCCGUAGAGAUCAAGAGGAAUACUCAUUGCGAAGGCGACCUGCUAGAACAUAACUGACGCUGAUGCGCGAAAGCGUGGGGAGCAAACAGGAUUAGAUACCCCAGUAGUC